UCACCGAGGUUAUCUGUGAGGGAGCC
RNAcentral lists this non-coding RNA (26 nucleotides) under Rattus norvegicus (Norway rat). The record is from RNAcentral. Lineage: Eukaryota; Metazoa; Chordata; Mammalia; Rodentia; Muridae.